CUCCGGGCCCAGAUUCCCCUGCGGCCGACUCCGGAGGGGGAAAGCCUGUCCUUGCCAGCGAUCAGACCUUCCGACCCCACCAGGGUCAGAGCUGCCUGGGCCUGAGGGGGCCCUGCCCUGAGGAGGACGCCGAGGCUUUGAGCAGGCCCCCGACAGCUGCUCGCGGGAGCCGCCUCCCGACACCCGAGCCCCGCCGGCGCCUCGCGCUCCCGGCUCUUGGCUCCCUCCGCCUCCCCCUCCCCGC
Long non-coding RNA from Bos taurus (domestic cattle), 244 nucleotides. NCBI's taxonomy places the organism in Eukaryota, Metazoa, Chordata, Mammalia, Artiodactyla, Bovidae. The record is from Ensembl.